UACGUAGGGGGCUAGCGUUGUCCGGAAUCAUUGGGCGUAAAGCGCGUGUAGGCGGUCCGGUAAGUCCGCUGUGAAAGUCGGGGGCUCAACCCUCGAAUGCCGGUGGAUACUGUCGGGCUAGAGUGCGGAAGAGGCGAGUGGAAUUCCUGGUGUAGCGGUGAAAUGCGCAGAUAUCAGGAGGAACACCAAUUGCGAAGGCAGCUCGCUGGGACGUUACUGACGCCGAGACGCGAAAGCGUGGGGAGCAAACAGG
RNAcentral lists this ribosomal RNA (253 nucleotides) under uncultured bacterium. RNAcentral's name for it is "partial 16S ribosomal RNA". It matches the Rfam family "Bacterial small subunit ribosomal RNA", at positions 524 to 776 of the family's 1533-position model. The record is from RNAcentral.